AUUGAACGCUGGCGGCAUGCCUUACACAUGCAAGUCGAACGGCAGCACGGGUGCUUGCACCUGGUAGCGAGUGGCGAACGGGUGAGGAAUACAUCGGAACAUGUACUGUAGUGGGGGAUAGCCCGGCGAAAGCCGGAUUAAUACCACAAACGAUCCACGGAUGAGGGCGGGGGACGUUCGUGCCUCGCCCUAGCGGGUUGGCCGAUGGCUGAUUAGCUAGUUGGUGGGGUAAAGGCCUACCAAGGCGACGAUCAGUAGCUGGUCUGAGAGGACGACCAGCCACACUGGGACUGAGACACGGCCCAGACUCCUACGGGAGGCAGCAGUGGGGAAUUUUGGACAAUGGGCGAAAGCCUGAUCCAGCAAUGCCGCGUGUGUGAAGAAGGCCUUCGGGUUGUAAAGCACUUUUGUCCGGAAAGAAAACCUUGGCUCUAAUACAGUCGGGGGAUGACGGUACCGGAAGAAUAAGCACCGGCUAACUACGUG
Molecule: ribosomal RNA, 486 nt
Filed under: uncultured bacterium
Lineage: Bacteria
Description: partial 16S ribosomal RNA
Rfam family: Bacterial small subunit ribosomal RNA
Source: RNAcentral